AUCUCUUCUCGGCCUUUUGGCUAAGAUCAAGUGUAUUCAUGUCCAUUCCUUCAUUUAGUCAACAAAUACUUAUUGAGGGUUUAAAUGUGUCAAGCACUAUUGUAGUGUUUCCAACUUGAGGCUUAUAUUUUGCUUUGAAGACAAUAUAUGGACACUCUUC
Small nuclear RNA from Oryctolagus cuniculus (rabbit), 160 nucleotides. Its record names the gene U2. It matches the Rfam family "U2 spliceosomal RNA". Rfam says of the family: U2 is a small nuclear RNA (snRNA) component of the spliceosome (involved in pre-mRNA splicing). Complementary binding between U2 snRNA (in an area lying towards the 5' end but 3' to hairpin I) and the branchpoint sequence (BPS) of the intron results the bulging out of an unpaired adenosine, on the BPS, which initiates a nucleophilic attack at the intronic 5' splice site, thus starting the first of two transesterification reactions that mediate splicing. The record is from Ensembl. NCBI's taxonomy places the organism in Eukaryota, Metazoa, Chordata, Mammalia, Lagomorpha, Leporidae.